RNAcentral lists this ribosomal RNA (744 nucleotides) under uncultured Actinomycetes bacterium. Its description in RNAcentral is "bacterial SSU rRNA". It matches the Rfam family "Bacterial small subunit ribosomal RNA", at positions 86 to 843 of the family's 1533-position model. The record is from RNAcentral. Lineage: Bacteria; Bacillati; Actinomycetota; Actinomycetes.
AAUGACUGAGCGGCGAACGGGUGAGUAACGCGUGAGCAAUCUACCUUAGUUACUGGGAUAGCCCGAGGAAACUCGGAUUAAUACCGGAUAAUCUUAUUACAUCACAUGAAGUUUUAAGCAAAGGUCAGCCGAACUAAGAUGAGCUCGCGUUCUAUCAGCUUGUUGGUGGGGUAAAAGCCUACCAAGGCUACGACGGAUAGCUGGUCUGAGAGGACGAUCAGCCACACUGGGACUGAGACACGGCCCAGACUCCUACGGGAGGCUGCAGCAGGGAAUAUUGCGCAAUGAGCGAAAGCUUGACGCAGCGACACCGCGUGUGGGAUGAAGGUUCUAGGAUUGUAAACCACUUUCAGGAGGGAAGAAAAUGACGGUACCUCCACAAGAAGCCCCGGCCAACUACGUGCCAGCAGCCGCGGUAAUACGUAGGGGGCGAGCGUUGUCCGGAUUUAUUGGGCGUAAAGAGCUCGUAGGCGGUUCAACAAGUCGGUCGUGAAAGUUCAGGGCUCAACCCUGAAAUGUCGAUCGAUACUGUUGUGACUAGGAUAUGGUAGAGGUGAGUGGAAUUCCGAGUGUAGCGGUGAAAUGCGUAGAUAUUCGGAGGAACACCAAUUGCGAAGGCAGCUCACUGGGCCACUAUCGACGCUGAGGAGCGAAAGCUAGGGGAGCAAACAGGAUUAGAUACCCUGGUUAGUCCUAGCUGUAAACGAUGGAUACUAGAUGUAGGAAUUGGAUUGACGAUUUCUG